RNAcentral lists this ribosomal RNA (1047 nucleotides) under Salmonella enterica. RNAcentral's name for it is "partial 23S ribosomal RNA". It matches the Rfam family "Bacterial large subunit ribosomal RNA", at positions 677 to 1637 of the family's 2925-position model. RNAcentral also lists the same sequence under 1 other name. Lineage: Bacteria; Pseudomonadati; Pseudomonadota; Gammaproteobacteria; Enterobacterales; Enterobacteriaceae. The record is from RNAcentral.
CCGAGUCUUAACCGGGCGUUAAGUUGCAGGGUAUAGACCCGAAACCCGGUGAUCUAGCCAUGGGCAGGUUGAAGGUUGGGUAACACUAACUGGAGGACCGAACCGACUAAUGUUGAAAAAUUAGCGGAUGACCUGUGGCUGGGGGUGAAAGGCCAAUCAAACCGGGAGAUAGCUGGUUCUCCCCGAAAGCUAUUUAGGUAGCGCCUCGUGAAUUCAUCUCCGGGGGUAGAGCACUGUUUCGGCUAGGGGGCCAUCCCGGCUUACCAACCCGAUGCAAACUGCGAAUACCGGAGAAUGUUAUCACGGGAGACACACGGCGGGUGCUAACGUCCGUCGUGAAGAGGGAAACAACCCAGACCGCCAGCUAAGGUCCCAAAGUCAUGGUUAAGUGGGAAACGAUGUGGGAAGGCCCAGACAGCCAGGAUGUUGGCUUAGAAGCAGCCAUCAUUUAAAGAAAGCGUAAUAGCUCACUGGUCGAGUCGGCCUGCGCGGAAGAUGUAACGGGGCUAAACCAUGCACCGAAGCUGCGGCAGCGAACGUAUCACCCAAGACAACUUUACGGAGUUGACGAUUGACGGAGCGAAGCGACGUCAAAGCGUUCAUUAAAGUCGAGUUGGCUUAGGGAUACGUUCGUUGGGUAGGGGAGCGUUCUGUAAGCCUGUGAAGGUGUGUCGUGAGGCAUGCUGGAGGUAUCAGAAGUGCGAAUGCUGACAUAAGUAACGAUAAAGCGGGUGAAAAGCCCGCUCGCCGGAAGACCAAGGGUUCCUGUCCAACGUUAAUCGGGGCAGGGUGAGUCGACCCCUAAGGCGAGGCCGAAAGGCGUAGUCGAUGGGAAACGGGUUAAUAUUCCCGUACUUGGUGUUACUGCGAAGGGGGGACGGAGAAGGCUAUGUUGGCCGGGCGACGGUUGUCCCGGUUUAAGCGUGUAGGUGUGUGUUCCAGGUAAAUCCGGUUCACUUUAACACUGAGGCGUGACGACGAGGCACUACGGUGCUGAAGCAACAAAUGCCCUGCUUCCAGGAAAAGCCUCUAAGCAUCAGGUAACAC